This 497-nucleotide ribosomal RNA is filed under the name uncultured bacterium. Its description in RNAcentral is "partial 16S ribosomal RNA". It matches the Rfam family "Bacterial small subunit ribosomal RNA", at positions 28 to 507 of the family's 1533-position model. The record is from RNAcentral.
GAUGAACGCUGGCGGCGUGCCUAAUACAUGCAAGUCGAGCGAACAGACGAGGAGCUUGCUCCUCUGACGUUAGCGGCGGACGGGUGAGUAACACGUGGAUAACCUACCUAUAAGACUGGGAUAACUUCGGGAAACCGGAGCUAAUACCGGAUAAUAUAUUGAACCGCAUGGUUCAAUAGUGAAAGACGGUUUUGCUGUCACUUAUAGAUGGAUCCGCGCCGCAUUAGCUAGUUGGUAAGGUAACGGCUUACCAAGGCAACGAUGCGUAGCCGACCUGAGAGGGUGAUCGGCCACACGGGAAGUGAGACACGGUCCAGACGCCUACGGGAGGCAGCAGUAGGGAAUCUUCCGCAAUGGGCGAAAGCCUGACGGAGCAACGCCGCGUGAGUGAUGAAGGUCUUCGGAUCGUAAAACUCUGUUAUUAGGGAAGAACAAAUGUGUAAGUAACUAUGCACGUCUUGACGGUACCUAAUCAGAAAGCCACGGCUAACUACGUG